RNAcentral lists this long non-coding RNA (219 nucleotides) under Hordeum vulgare. Its description in RNAcentral is "long non-coding RNA (HVUL_LNC015242)". The record is from RNAcentral. Lineage: Eukaryota; Viridiplantae; Streptophyta; Magnoliopsida; Poales; Poaceae.
AUAACACCAUAAUUUAAAUCAUAAGACUCACCAUAACAUCAUAGUUCAUAGUUUAACAGACGUAGUUCAACAAACAACAUAGUUCAACAGAAAACAUAGUUCAAUAGACAACAUCAUAACACUCAGAAUACGACAUAGGUAACAUACUUCACUUCCUCCCUCUCUUUGCAGCCAUCUUGCCCUUAGUAACGUAGCCCUCUGGAGUGUUCUGCCAGCCAG